This 253-nucleotide ribosomal RNA is filed under the name uncultured bacterium. Its description in RNAcentral is "partial 16S ribosomal RNA". It matches the Rfam family "Bacterial small subunit ribosomal RNA", at positions 524 to 776 of the family's 1533-position model. The record is from RNAcentral.
UACGGAGGGCGCAAGCGUUGUCCGGAAUUAUUGGGCGUAAAGAGCUCGUAGGCGGUCUGUUGCGUCCGCUGUGAAAACUCGGGGCUUAACCCCGAGCCUGCAGUGGAUACGGGCAGACUAGAGGUAGGUAGGGGAGAAUGGAAUUCCCGGUGUAGCGGUGAAAUGCGCAGAUAUCGGGAGGAACACCGGUGGCGAAGGCGGUUCUCUGGGCCGAAAUUGACGCUGAGGAGCGAAAGCGUGGGGAGCAAACAGG